Long non-coding RNA from Prunus dulcis (almond), 399 nucleotides. RefSeq lists it as uncharacterized. The record is from RefSeq and is a predicted model, not a curated record. The transcript is spliced from 3 exons. Lineage: Eukaryota; Viridiplantae; Streptophyta; Magnoliopsida; Rosales; Rosaceae.
UCCCAACCCUGGCAUGGAUCAAGCCCAACAAACUGUGGAGUACUACUGUCCAGCAGAAAGAAUUCAUCAGAACUCUCAGAAAGCUGUCGGUUGUGCUUGCUGGAAUUAGGGCUCAUAGUGCAAAUGAUGGCUGUCCUGGCAUUGCCUCCCAAAGAAUUUUGCAGUAUGCGUGUUAGUUUAGAGUCUCUGUAAGAUGGAAAGAAGUUCCUGCAGGUGGUUCUGGUCUCUCAAAAUCUCCUCUGAAAGUUUCUCGAUAACAGUCCCUUUCUAUUGGAGUAGCAUUAGAGAAACUUUUGAUCAGUCAUUUGAAUUAUGUUUUAUAUGAACAUGUGUCUGUGUGAACGCACACUCGAGCGCGUGCACGCUGAUUAUGAAAGGAAUACAUUAUUCACCUCUGGA